This 21-nucleotide non-coding RNA is filed under the name Caenorhabditis elegans. Lineage: Eukaryota; Metazoa; Nematoda; Chromadorea; Rhabditida; Rhabditidae. The record is from RNAcentral.
UCUCAGAUGGUAUUUGAAUCC